RNAcentral lists this ribosomal RNA (1302 nucleotides) under Klebsiella pneumoniae. Its description in RNAcentral is "bacterial SSU rRNA". It matches the Rfam family "Bacterial small subunit ribosomal RNA", at positions 248 to 1533 of the family's 1533-position model. Lineage: Bacteria; Pseudomonadati; Pseudomonadota; Gammaproteobacteria; Enterobacterales; Enterobacteriaceae. The record is from RNAcentral.
GUAGGUGGGGUAACGGCUCACCUAGGCGACGAUCCCUAGCUGGUCUGAGAGGAUGACCAGCCACACUGGAACUGAGACACGGUCCAGACUCCUACGGGAGGCAGCAGUGGGGAAUAUUGCACAAUGGGCGCAAGCCUGAUGCAGCCAUGCCGCGUGUGUGAAGAAGGCCUUCGGGUUGUAAAGCACUUUCAGCGGGGAGGAAGGCGGUGAGGUUAAUAACCUCAUCGAUUGACGUUACCCGCAGAAGAAGCACCGGCUAACUCCGUGCCAGCAGCCGCGGUAAUACGGAGGGUGCAAGCGUUAAUCGGAAUUACUGGGCGUAAAGCGCACGCAGGCGGUCUGUCAAGUCGGAUGUGAAAUCCCCGGGCUUAACCUGGGAACUGCAUUCGAAACUGGCAGGCUAGAGUCUUGUAGAGGGGGGUAGAAUUCUAGGUGUAGCGGUGAAAUGCGUAGAGAUCUGGAGGAAUACCGGUGGCGAAGGCGGCCCCCUGGACAAAGACUGACGCUCAGGUGCGAAAGCGUGGGGAGCAAACAGGAUUAGAUACCCUGGUAGUCCACGCCGUAAACGAUGUCGAUUUGGAGGUUGUGCCCUUGAGGCGUGGCUUCCGGAGCUAACGCGUUAAAUCGACCGCCUGGGGAGUACGGCCGCAAGGUUAAAACUCAAAUGAAUUGACGGGGGCCCGCACAAGCGGUGGAGCAUGUGGUUUAAUUCGAUGCAACGCGAAGAACCUUACCUGGUCUUGACAUCCACAGAACUUAGCAGAGAUGCUUUGGUGCCUUCGGGAACUGUGAGACAGGUGCUGCAUGGCUGUCGUCAGCUCGUGUUGUGAAAUGUUGGGUUAAGUCCCGCAACGAGCGCAACCCUUAUCCUUUGUUGCCAGCGGUCCGGCCGGGAACUCAAAGGAGACUGCCAGUGAUAAACUGGAGGAAGGUGGGGAUGACGUCAAGUCAUCAUGGCCCUUACGACCAGGGCUACACACGUGCUACAAUGGCAUAUACAAAGAGAAGCGACCUCGCGAGAGCAAGCGGACCUCAUAAAGUAUGUCGUAGUCCGGAUUGGAGUCUGCAACUCGACUCCAUGAAGUCGGAAUCGCUAGUAAUCGUAGAUCAGAAUGCUACGGUGAAUACGUUCCCGGGCCUUGUACACACCGCCCGUCACACCAUGGGAGUGGGUUGCAAAAGAAGUAGGUAGCUUAACCUUCGGGAGGGCGCUUACCACUUUGUGAUUCAUGACUGGGGUGAAGUCGUAACAAGGUAACCGUAGGGGAACCUGCGGUUGGAUCACCUCCUUACCUUAAAGAA